UCUGGUUUCUCUUCAGAUCGCAUAAAUCUUCUGCCUUUUACCAAAGAUUUCUGUGGAGAGGAACAAUUCUGA
Small nuclear RNA from Erinaceus europaeus (western European hedgehog), 72 nucleotides. Its record names the gene U5. It matches the Rfam family "U5 spliceosomal RNA". From Rfam's summary of the family: U5 RNA is a component of both types of known spliceosome. The precise function of this molecule is unknown, though it is known that the 5' loop is required for splice site selection and p220 binding, and that both the 3' stem-loop and the Sm site are important for Sm protein binding and cap methylation. The record is from Ensembl. NCBI's taxonomy places the organism in Eukaryota, Metazoa, Chordata, Mammalia, Eulipotyphla, Erinaceidae.